This 73-nucleotide transfer RNA is filed under the name Pelecanus crispus (Dalmatian pelican). It matches the Rfam family "tRNA". From Rfam's summary of the family: Transfer RNA (tRNA) molecules are approximately 80 nucleotides in length. Their secondary structure includes four short double-helical elements and three loops (D, anti-codon, and T loops). The record is from Rfam by way of RNAcentral. Lineage: Eukaryota; Metazoa; Chordata; Aves; Pelecaniformes; Pelecanidae.
AGUUACUUAGCUCAGUUGGUUAGAGCGUGGUGCUAAUAACACCAAAGGUCACAGGUUCAAUCCCUGCUUACUG